This 460-nucleotide ribosomal RNA is filed under the name uncultured bacterium. Its description in RNAcentral is "partial 16S ribosomal RNA". It matches the Rfam family "Bacterial small subunit ribosomal RNA", at positions 338 to 795 of the family's 1533-position model. The record is from RNAcentral.
CCUACGGGAGGCAGCAGUGAGGAAUAUUGGUCAAUGGACGAGAGUCUGAACCAGCCAAGUAGCGUGAAGGAUGACUGCCCUAUGGGUUGUAAACUUCUUUUAUAAAGGAAUAAAACGAGGCACGUGUGCCUUUUUGCAUGUACUUUAUGAAUAAGGAUCGGCUAACUCCGUGCCAGCAGCCGCGGUAAUACGGAGGAUCCGAGCGUUAUCCGGAUUUAUUGGGUUUAAAGGGAGCGUAGAUGGGUUGUUAAGUCAGUUGUGAAAGUUUGCGGCUCAACCGUAAAAUUGCAGUUGAUACUGGCAGUCUUGAGUACAGUUGAGGUAGGCGGAAUUCGUGGUGUAGCGGUGAAAUGCUUAGAUAUCACGAAGAACCCCGAGUGCGAAGGCAGCUUACGAAACUGUGACUGACAUUGAUGCUCGAAAGUGUGGGUAUCAAACAGGAUUAGAUACCCGUGUAGUC